Molecule: long non-coding RNA, 623 nt
Organism: Prionailurus viverrinus (fishing cat)
Lineage: Eukaryota; Metazoa; Chordata; Mammalia; Carnivora; Felidae
Exons: 5
Source: RefSeq, a predicted model, not a curated record
GCUCGCUUCUGCCCGCAGCAACCGGUUCCCACGAGCCCUGGGGCGGUUUUGAGACUGGAGGCGGGAGUGGGUUGGACGCGCGUCCCGGCUCCUGAGACCCAGCUGGAGUUUCAGAAUGCUCUCUACCUAGCUGCCUCCUCAACAGUGACAGUCGGGAAAAUGUGACCAUCACUGCGUCAGCAGAAAGCCGAGAAACCAUUGGUGAACCGUCCUGACAAACUCCAUGUUAUGGUGGAGCUUACAUUCUGGUGAAAAGUCAGCUUUUGGAGUUCCCGAGCUUCCUUCUUAAAUUUGCACGUGCCAAGAUAGUGAAGAAGAGACCAGAGAAGGUACAUCUGGGAGAAAGAUGCUAGUGAAGACUAAGUGAGAGAGGAUACAUGGGGAAUGACUAACCAAGCAGGAGUUUCGGCAGGAGCUAACAGGCAAGUAGGAGCAAGUUCCGGAAAGGGCCACACCUGCUAAGAAAAGGAGCAACUCCUUCAUCCGGGAACAAAGCAAGCUUAUCAUAAAAGACAACAUCUGCAAAGCUAGUUGAGAGGAAGAAACAGGUCACCGAUGGACCCCGAGGCUCCUGCCAGCCCUGACAAUCUCCUAUUUCAAGCAGGCAUCGAAUAAAUAUUUGC